CCUACGGGAGGCAGCAGUGGGGAAUUUUGGACAAUGGGCGAAAGCCUGAUCCAGCCAUGCCGCGUGAGUGAAGAAGGCCUUCGGGUUGUAAAGCUCUUUCAGCCGGAAAGAAAUCGCGCAGGCUAAUACUCUGCGUGGAUGACGGUACCGGAAGAAGAAGCACCGGCUAACUACGUGCCAGCAGCCGCGGUAAUACGUAGGGUGCGAGCGUUAAUCGGAAUUACUGGGCGUAAAGCGUGCGCAGGCGGUUAUAUAAGACAGAUGUGAAAUCCCCGGGCUCAACCUGGGAACUGCGUUUGUGACUGUAUGACUAGAGUACGGCAGAGGGAGGUGGAAUUCCGCGUGUAGCAGUGAAAUGCGUAGAUAUGCGGAGGAACACCGAUGGCGAAGGCAGCCUCCUGGGCCAGUACUGACGCUCAUGCACGAAAGCGUGGGGAGCAAACAGGAUUAGAUACCCUGGUAGUCCACGCCCUAAACGAUGUCAACUAGUUGUUCGGUGAGGAGACUCAUUGAGUAACGCAGCUAACGCGUGAAGUUGACCGCCUGGGGAGUACGGCCGCAAGGUUAAACUUAAAGGAAUUGACGGCUGAGACGAGCGAGGACGACGACGAGGGGAGGUAGG
Molecule: ribosomal RNA, 622 nt
Filed under: uncultured bacterium
Lineage: Bacteria
Description: bacterial SSU rRNA
Rfam family: Bacterial small subunit ribosomal RNA
Source: RNAcentral